Molecule: ribosomal RNA, 515 nt
Filed under: uncultured bacterium
Lineage: Bacteria
Description: bacterial SSU rRNA
Rfam family: Bacterial small subunit ribosomal RNA
Source: RNAcentral
AGAACGCUGGCGGCGUGCCUAAUACAUGCAAGUCGAACGGCUUUUCUAUGGAAGCUUGCUUCCACUGAGAAGAUAGUGGCGAACGGGUGAGUAACACGUGGGUAACCUGCCCAUAAGAGGGGGAUAACAUCCGGAAACGGGUGCUAAUACCGCAUAGUUUUCUUGAUCGCAUGAUCGGGAAAGGAAAGACGGCCUUUGUGCUGUCGCUUAUGGAUGGACCCGCGGCGUAUUAGUUAGUUGGUGAGGUAACGGCUCACCAAGACGAUGAUACGUAGCCGACCUGAGAGGGUGAUCGGCCACAUUGGGACUGAGACACGGCCCAAACUCCUACGGGAGGCAGCAGUAGGGAAUCUUCCGCAAUGGACGAAAGUCUGACGGAGCAACGCCGCGUGAGUGAAAGAAGGUUUUCGGAUCGUAAAACUCUGUUGUCAGAGAAGAACAAGUUGGAGAGUAACUGCUCCAGCCUUGACGGUAUCUGACCAGAAAGCCACGGCUAACUACGUGCCAGCCGCCGC